CAGGUUCUAUAGGAAGGGGAAACAUCAGAAGAGUUCAGACAAAGUACAUCUUAACAGACAGUCUUCAAUGAGUUCCAAAAAUAGCUCUCAAAAACCUUCACACACCUCUGAACAGGUUCCAGGGAAAAGGGAAACAUCAGAUCCCAGACCGUCAAGUCCGUCGUCUCAGUCUAUGACCAGCAGCCAGCAUUUCUGAGCUGAAAGUGUUUCUACAUGAUAUAAGAAUCAACACCAUAAACACAAUAACUGAACAUGUAUUUAAUUUUUUCACUUGUGUUGAUAUUUUAUUUUUUAAUGAAUGAACAUGAAUGAAAAUGAGAGGCACUCGGUGUAUGCACAAGAUGUACAGAAAUAAAC
Neolamprologus brichardi is the source of this 357-nucleotide non-coding RNA. Lineage: Eukaryota; Metazoa; Chordata; Actinopteri; Cichliformes; Cichlidae. The record is from RefSeq and is a predicted model, not a curated record.